RNAcentral lists this long non-coding RNA (379 nucleotides) under Oryza sativa Indica Group (long-grained rice). RNAcentral's name for it is "lncRNA OsMH63_06G009470". The record is from RNAcentral. Lineage: Eukaryota; Viridiplantae; Streptophyta; Magnoliopsida; Poales; Poaceae.
AUGGUGUUGUCAAACACUCUAGGGAGCUCUGCUCAAAGUAAGAAGAGAAAGGCAGCCACUGUUACUACAACAAGUACUACCAUUCAGUCCAGAUCAAAAAAAUCGAAGAACAAGGCACCCAAUGAAACCCAGGAGCUGGUUAGGGUUAAUGCUAGUGCUAAGGUAUCUACAGAGCAUGGUGGAUCAGCUAGGGUUGAUCUACAUGCCAUAGUUCCCCAUUCCCAAGGAUCUACAACUGCAUCUGUCAAGGUCACUUCUGGAAGAGCAUUUGUCUUGGUCUCAGCUCAGGAACCAUCCAACAGCAAAGCAAAGAAGAUAUCUGGUGGGGCACUACUUCUAAUGCCCCCAUGGCAAAGUGACAAGCUGUAACGCCCCGAUU